RNAcentral lists this transfer RNA (85 nucleotides) under Oligoflexales bacterium. RNAcentral describes it as "tRNA-Leu". It matches the Rfam family "tRNA". From Rfam's summary of the family: Transfer RNA (tRNA) molecules are approximately 80 nucleotides in length. Lineage: Bacteria; Pseudomonadati; Bdellovibrionota; Oligoflexia; Oligoflexales. The record is from RNAcentral.
GCGAAGAUGGUGGAACUGGUAGACACGUACGUUUCAGAUGCGUAUGCCGCAAGGUAUGAGGGUUCGAGUCCCUUUCUUCGCACCA